GCCUGAUCCAGCCAUGCCGCGUGAGUGAAGAAGGCCUUCGGGUUGUAAAGCUCUUUCAGAUGCGAAGAUGAUGACGGUAACAUCAGAAGAAGCCCCGGCUAAUUUCGUGCCAGCAGCCGCGGUAAUA
This 127-nucleotide ribosomal RNA is filed under the name uncultured Thalassospira sp. Its description in RNAcentral is "partial 16S ribosomal RNA". It matches the Rfam family "Bacterial small subunit ribosomal RNA", at positions 381 to 525 of the family's 1533-position model. Lineage: Bacteria; Pseudomonadati; Pseudomonadota; Alphaproteobacteria; Rhodospirillales; Thalassospiraceae. The record is from RNAcentral.